RNAcentral lists this ribosomal RNA (468 nucleotides) under uncultured bacterium. RNAcentral's name for it is "partial 16S ribosomal RNA". It matches the Rfam family "Bacterial small subunit ribosomal RNA", at positions 28 to 507 of the family's 1533-position model. The record is from RNAcentral.
GACGAACGCUGGCGGCGUGCUUAACACAUGCAAGUCGAACGGAAAGGCCCUGCUUUUGUGGGGUGCUCGAGUGGCGAACGGGUGAGUAACACGUGAGUAACCUGCCCUUGACUUUGGGAUAACUUCAGGAAACUGGGGCUAAUACCGGAUAGGAGCUCCUGCUGCAUGGUGGGGGUUGGAAAGUUUCGGCGGUUGGGGAUGGACUCGCGGCUUAUCAGCUUGUUGGUGGGGUAGUGGCUUACCAAGGCUUUGACGGGUAGCCGGCCUGAGAGGGUGACCGGCCACAGUGGGACUGAGAGACGGCCCAGACUCCUACGGGAGGCAGCGGGGGGAAGUAUUGCACAGUGGGCGGAAGCCUGAUGCAGCAACGCCGCGUGCGGAAUGACGGCCUUCGGGUGGUAAACCGCUUUCGCCUGUGACGAAGCGUGAGUGACGGUAAUGGGUAAAGAAGCACCGGCUAACUACGUG